RNAcentral lists this ribosomal RNA (422 nucleotides) under Tychonema bourrellyi. RNAcentral's name for it is "bacterial SSU rRNA". It matches the Rfam family "Bacterial small subunit ribosomal RNA", at positions 360 to 796 of the family's 1533-position model. The record is from RNAcentral. Lineage: Bacteria; Bacillati; Cyanobacteriota; Cyanophyceae; Oscillatoriales; Microcoleaceae.
AAUUUUCCGCAAUGGGCGAAAGCCUGACGGAGCAAGACCGCGUGGGGGAAGAAGGCUCUUGGGUUGUAAACUCCUUUUCUCUGGGAAGAACAAAAUGACGGUACCAGAGGAAUCAGCAUCGGCUAACUCCGUGCCAGCAGCCGCGGUAAGACGGAGGAUGCAAGCGUUAUCCGGAAUGAUUGGGCGUAAAGCGUCCGCAGGUGGCAGUUCAAGUCUGCUGUCAAAGACCGGGGCUCAACCUCGGAAAGGCAGUGGAAACUGAACAGCUAGAGUAUGGUAGGGGCAAAGGGAAUUCCUGGUGUAGCGGUGAAAUGCGUAGAGAUCAGGAAGAACAUCGGUGGCGAAGGCGCUUUGCUGGACCAUAACUGACACUCAGGGACGAAAGCUAGGGGAGCGAAUGGGAUUAGAUACCCCAGUAGUCA